UCCCUACGGGGCGCAGCAGUGAGGAAUAUUGGUCAAUGGACGAGAGUCUGAACCAGCCAAGUAGCGUGAAGGAUGACUGCCCUAUGGGUUGUAAACUUCUUUUAUAAAGGAAUAAAACGAGGCACGUGUGCCUUUUUGCAUGUACUUUAUGAAUAAGGAUCGGCUAACUCCGUGCCAGCAGCCGCGGUAAUACGGAGGAUCCGAGCGUUAUCCGGAUUUAUUGGGUUUAAAGGGAGCGUAGAUGGGUUGUUAAGUCAGUGGUCAAAUUGAGGGGCUCAACCCCUUCCCGCCAUUGAAACUGGCGC
This 305-nucleotide ribosomal RNA is filed under the name uncultured bacterium. RNAcentral describes it as "bacterial SSU rRNA". It matches the Rfam family "Bacterial small subunit ribosomal RNA", at positions 335 to 639 of the family's 1533-position model. The record is from RNAcentral.